This is a long non-coding RNA of Cebus imitator (Panamanian white-faced capuchin), 1117 nucleotides long. RefSeq lists it as uncharacterized. Lineage: Eukaryota; Metazoa; Chordata; Mammalia; Primates; Cebidae. The transcript is spliced from 4 exons. The record is from RefSeq and is a predicted model, not a curated record.
AGCCGGAAAUGGUCUCUGGGGUAGUUGGGUAUCAGCAGCACUCACUGCCAGCGACAAAAAGACACCUAGCUCUCUUUUUGGGGGCUGAGGGCCCCAGCUUCUAGAUCCACAGGUCAGCUUUACGUCCUGUUGCCUUGGAGCUUGAUGAGGCAGGUGGCAUGCUGAACCUGCAGCUGGGGUUGGGACUGUCGCCAGUUUUAGCAAGUAGUGGCGUUACCGUUCUUAUUUUAAAAUACAAAUUUUUGGAGAAUUAUUUUGUUUGAAUGGCUUAGGUAAGAAUAAUAAUGAAAUAUACUUUGUGGAUGAUUUAGAACACUGUUUUGCUAAAGACGAGAAUAUGAACAUAUGUAUUGUAAGUCAGUUGUGUUAUAAUGCUUCUUUUGAAACCUGAAUUUGUUCCAGCAUGACUGAUAAGUUAGGGCUCAAUUUGAACACAAUGUGAAUUUCGUGUUGGCUUCUGUUCAGUUUUGUCAGUGAGAAACACUAGGUGAAUCCAGAACACUGCACCCACUGCACCAAGCCUUGUAGGGAACACAAAGCGCACACACUUUAAAUAUCUGCCAGCUACUCAAGUUCGCCAAAUGUGUGAUGCCACGGCUGUGCACACUCAUGCACGUGGUGAGUGGUGUCCUGACUUCCUUCCUAUGCAAAUAACCUUUCUUCUGUCACUUCACAACUCUCAAUCAGCAGCCUGUGAUGCCCACUUCUGCAAGCAAUCUUCAGGUCUUCUCAAGGAGUGAGGAGAGCCUUGGAUGAUUUAUUUCCUCCUCUAUUCCUGAGAUACGACCCUGGAUGGAUGCCCAAGGUGUAACAUACAAGAACUAUCAAAGACUUCAGUAUCAGCCGACGUGACCUGCAGGCCCCCUGAAGUGGGGUUGCCAUUCACACUUGUCAUCUUUAAAGUUUGGAGAGGUCAUGAAGUGAGGAGCUGGAAUGGUUAAUUUCUCAACUUUGCUGGAGUCUCCUGGGCUUGACCUGAUUCCAAGAAGAAUGGUGUCACUAUUAGAGGCUUUCCAACCUCCUUCCGGGGAGCAGGCUGCUAUUGAUUGAAGGUGCCUCCAGGCUGAAAGUCUUAGAUAAAAUAGCUCUUCUGUCCACACACAGAAGCAAGCACAUG